Molecule: unclassified non-coding RNA, 290 nt
Filed under: fungal sp.
Lineage: Eukaryota; Fungi
Description: partial internal transcribed spacer region
Rfam family: Eukaryotic small subunit ribosomal RNA (bases 1-46)
Source: RNAcentral
AAGUCGUAACAAGGUAUCCGUAGGUGAACCUGCGGAUGGAUCAUUAUCACGUAUCCACGUAUCAACCAUUGUGAACCGUUUUAUAUAGUAUUUUUGUUUUUUUUUAGUUCCUGGAAGAUGUUUCGGCAUCAACUGAGAAUUAAUUAUAAAAAACAAUUAAUAUUAUACUAUUUUUAUUAACAAUUUAAACCAUAACUUUAUAAUUUUUGACUUACUUAUUUUAUACUCUUCGGAGAUAAAAUUCAUUACGAAACAAAGAACAACUCUUAGCAACGGAUAUCUUGGUUCUC